GAUGAACGCUGGCGGCGUGCCUAAUACAUGCAAGUCGAGCGAACGGACGAGAAGCUUGCUUCUCUGAUGUUAGCGGCGGACGGGUGAGUAACACGUGUAUAACCUACCUAUAAGACUGGGAUAACUUCGGGAAACCGGAGCUAAUACCGGAUAAUAUUUUGAACCGCAUGGUUCAAAAGUGAAAGACGGUCUUGCUGUCACUUAUAGAUGGAUCCGCGCUGCAUUAGCUAGUUGGUAAGGUAACGGCUUACCAAGGCAACGAUGCAUAGCCGACCUGAGAGGGUGAUCGGCCACACUGGAACUGAGACACGGUCCAGACUCCUACGGGAGGCAGCAGUAGGGAAUCUUCCGCAAUGGGCGAAAGCCUGACGGAGCAACGCCGCGUGAGUGAUGAAGGUCUUCGGAUCGUAAAACUCUGUUAUUAGGGAAGAACAGAUGUGUAAGUAACUGUGCACAUCUUGACGGUACCUAAUCAGAAAGCCACGGCUAACUACGUG
This 497-nucleotide ribosomal RNA is filed under the name uncultured bacterium. Its description in RNAcentral is "partial 16S ribosomal RNA". It matches the Rfam family "Bacterial small subunit ribosomal RNA", at positions 28 to 507 of the family's 1533-position model. The record is from RNAcentral.